RNAcentral lists this ribosomal RNA (497 nucleotides) under uncultured bacterium. RNAcentral's name for it is "partial 16S ribosomal RNA". It matches the Rfam family "Bacterial small subunit ribosomal RNA", at positions 28 to 507 of the family's 1533-position model. The record is from RNAcentral.
GAUGAACGCUGGCGGCGUGCCUAAUACAUGCAAGUCGAGCGAACGGACGAGAAGCUUGCUUUUCUGAUGUUAGCGGCGGACGGGUGAGUAACGCGUGGAUAACCUACCUAUAAGACUGGGAUAACUUCGGGAAACCGGAGCUAAUACCGGAUAAUAUUUUGGACCGCAUGGUUCAAAAGUGAAAGGCGGUCUUGCUGUCACUUAUAGAUGGAUCCGCGCUGCAUUAGCUAGUUGGUAAGGUAACGGCUUACCAAGGCAACGAUGCAUAGCCGACCUGAGAGGGUGAUCGGCCACACUGGAACUGAGACACGGUCCAGACUCCUACGGGAGGCAGCAGUAGGGAAUCUUCCGCAAUGGGCGAAAGCCUGACGGAGCAACGCCGCGUGAGUGAUGAAGGUCUUCGGAUCGUAAAACUCUGUUAUUAGGGAAGAACAUAUGUGUAAGUAACUGUGCACAUCUUGACGGUACCUAAUCAGAAAGCCACGGCUAACUACGUG